Molecule: ribosomal RNA, 498 nt
Filed under: uncultured bacterium
Lineage: Bacteria
Description: bacterial SSU rRNA
Rfam family: Bacterial small subunit ribosomal RNA
Source: RNAcentral
ACUCAAAGGAAUUGACGGGGGUCCGCACAAGCGGAGGAGCAUGUGGUUUAAUUCGAUGAUACGCGAGGAACCUUACCUGGGCUUGAACGUGUGAUGCAAUACUGGGAAACUGGUAGUCCCUUCGGGGCGUCAUGCGAGGUGCUGCAUGGUUGUCGUCAGCUCGUGCCGUGAGGUGUUAGGUUAAGUCCUGUAACGAGCGCAACCCCUAUACUUAGUUACCAGCACGUAGCGGUGGGGACUCUAAGUAAACUGCCUGCGCAAGCAGAGAGGAAGGUGGGGAUGACGUCAAAUCAGCACGGCCCUUACGUCCAGGGCCACACACGUGCUACAAUGGCCGAUACAGAGGGCAGCUACCUGGUGACAGGAUGCGAAUCUCGAAAGUCGGUCUCAGUUCGGAUCGGAGUCUGCAACUCGACUCCGUGAAGUUGGAUUCGCUAGUAAUCGCGCAUCAGCCAUGGCGCGGUGAAUACGUUCCCGGGCCUUGUACACACCGCCCGU